GUAGGGAAUAUUGGACAAUGGGGGCAACCCUGAUCCAGCCAUGCCGCGUGAGUGAAGAAGGCCCUCGGGUUGUAAAGCUCUUUUGUCCGGAAAGAAAAGCAUUCGGUGAAUACCCGGAUGUUCUGACGGUACCGGAAGAAUAAGCACCGGCUAACUUCGUGCCAGCAGCCGCGGUAAUACGAAGGGUGCAAGCGUUACUCGGAAUUACUGGGCGUAAAGCGUGCGUAGGUGGUUGUUUAAGUCUGAUGUGAAAGCCCUGGGCUCAACCUGGGAAUGGCAUUGGAAACUGGGCAGCUAGAGUGCGGUAGAGGGCAGUGGAAUUCCCGGUGUAGCAGUGAAAUGCGUAGAGAUCGGGAGAAACAUCUGUGGCGAAGGCGACUGCCUGGACCAGCACUGACACUGAGGCACGAAAGCGUGGGGAGCAAACA
Molecule: ribosomal RNA, 428 nt
Filed under: uncultured bacterium
Lineage: Bacteria
Description: bacterial SSU rRNA
Rfam family: Bacterial small subunit ribosomal RNA
Source: RNAcentral